AAGGACUGGUUUUUUUAACUUUCAUGGGUGAGUAUGGCCUUGCCUGGGCUCACUCUUAUAAGCAAGCUUUGGGUUCUGUUUAGUAUAGACUUUCAGGUUCAGAUUUCAGACUGUGAAUCAGUUCUGGUCGCAACUGGUAAGAGUUUGGUCUUUACACGCAUUAAUUUUAAUAAUUUAUCUACGAUUGCCAUUGCUUUUACUCUACAACCAUUCUUACUUAAAUAUACGAGGUUUUUUUUUUUUUUUUUUACCUUCUGUGAAAUGUUUUAAUCUCACAAAUGGAGCUAAAAGAACUCUUAUUAAUUGAAUUUUUUUACUCUACUUUUGACACUUACCUUUUUGACCUUGCUUUUGCUUGUGAAUUCUGCAGGAAGUGUAACAAAUGAUUUUUCGUAUAUAUAUUUUAUUUGAUAAAUAAAUCCAUUUACUGUGGAUUUGUUUUUACUUUCUCUCCUCUUGCGUAAUGUUUGAGUCUUCACGCUGUUUGAAUGACAGUUUCGCAAUUAGUAGCAAAUAUACGAGGAUUUUGGUAAAAAGAUAGUUGGUGGAACAGUCAACCAUCAUGCUCUGCACUGGUGCGCUGCUUCUUGACUAAAGCGAAAGCAUAGGCCCAGCCAUUGAAAAGCUUUAUGGAGUAGUGGGCGAGUCAAGCGUUAAAAGUAUUGGGUCAACAAGAUGUGUAUAUAUAUAUAAAAGUAGAAUUUGGCAACUUGCGGGAAACUUCCUAUUUUGUUAAUUUCUUUGUUUGAAUCUUACUUUUACCAAAACCCAUUC
This 774-nucleotide long non-coding RNA is filed under the name Gossypium barbadense (sea-island cotton). RNAcentral's name for it is "long non-coding RNA (GBAR_LNC017046)". Lineage: Eukaryota; Viridiplantae; Streptophyta; Magnoliopsida; Malvales; Malvaceae. The record is from RNAcentral.